UGGCGGCAUGCCUUACACAUGCAAGUCGAACGGCAGCACGGAGCUUGCUCUGGUGGCGAGUGGCGAACGGGUGAGUAAUAUAUCGGAACGUACCCUAGAGUGGGGGAUAACGUAGCGAAAGUUACGCUAAUACCGCAUACGAUCUAAGGAUGAAAGUGGGGGAUCGCAAGACCUCAUGCUCGUGGAGCGGCCGAUAUCUGAUUAGCUAGUUGGUAGGGUAAAAGCCUACCAAGGCAUCGAUCAGUAGCUGGUCUGAGAGGACGACCAGCCACACUGGAACUGAGACACGGUCCAGACUCCUACGGGAGGCAGCAGUGGGGAAUUUUGGACAAUGGGCGAAAGCCUGAUCCAGCAAUGCCGCGUGAGUGAAGAAGGCCUUCGGGUUGUAAAGCUCUUUUGUCAGGGAAGAAACGGUGAGAGCUAAUAUCUCUUGCUAAUGACGGUACCUGAAGAAUAAGCACCGGCUAACUACGUGCCAGCAGCCGCGGUAAUACGUAGGGUGCAAGCGUUAAUCGGAAUUACUGGGCGUAAAGCGUGCGCAGGCGGUUUUGUAAGUCUGAUGUGAAAUCCCCGGGCUCAACCUGGGAAUUGCAUUGGAGACUGCAAGGCUAGAAUCUGGCAGAGGGGGGUAGAAUUC
RNAcentral lists this ribosomal RNA (637 nucleotides) under Janthinobacterium lividum. RNAcentral's name for it is "bacterial SSU rRNA". It matches the Rfam family "Bacterial small subunit ribosomal RNA", at positions 37 to 669 of the family's 1533-position model. The record is from RNAcentral. Lineage: Bacteria; Pseudomonadati; Pseudomonadota; Betaproteobacteria; Burkholderiales; Oxalobacteraceae.